UUCUCCAAAACCAACUACUUUAAAAUAUAAAACAAAAAAGUGGUAGUUUUCGUUAAUUUACCAAUUUUUCAACCCAUGAUAGGGUUUUAUCGGACACCCCUUGGAUUGGAUUGAGCUCCACCGGCAGCUACAAACCCACUAAAUCACUCCAAAUUCCGAGCAAUGUUCUUUUUUAUAGAAUGAUUUGUGUUUCUUUUUUCUUUCUCGAUCUAGAUUUCUAGAACUUGUUUAAUUAUCGUGAUUUCUUCUUUAUCUCUGUUAAUACCGAGCUCUGCUGUCUGGAGAAGAAGUUGUCGGACUCCAUCAGGGAGGAGGAUGUUAAUGUCCGCAAUCUCUGUAGCUGAGCUUCAAAGGUUUUGGCGCUUAAAUUGAUCAUACCUCAGAAGAAUGGUCUGUAAAUAUUCUACAAAAUAUUUGAAUAUUUGUAUAGGCUCAUUUUUGUAAAUCUCAGCAAAUGCAGAAAGCUGAAUUAGUUAUAAUAGACGGCACACAGAUAGGAGUUCUCCCGGAUGUAGUGACUUACAAUACAUUGAUUGAUGGCUAUUUUCGAUUUAGUGGCAUGGAUGCUGCUUAUUCUGUUCUUUAUAGAAUGAGGGAAGCUGGUAUAAGCCCAGAUGUUAUUACUUAUAAUUCUUUGAUAGCUGGUGCAACUAGGAAUUUCUCAUUAGAACAAUCCCUCGAUCUGUUUGAAGAGAUGAUUCAAUCGGGUAUAACUCCUGAUAUAUGGAGUUACAACACUUUGAUGCACUGUUUCUUCAUAUUAGGAAAGCCAGACGAAGCCUAUAGAGUUUUCAAGGACAUUAUACUCAAAGACCUUUCUCCUCAUCCGGUUACAUUUAAUACAAUGAUUAAUGGCCUUUGUAAACAUGGAUAUACAAGUAAUGCUAUUAUGUUAUUCAGAAAUUUACAACGCCAUGGAUUCAUCCCUCAAUUAGUUACAUAUAAUAUUCUUAUUAAUGGUCUUUGCAAGGUGAGUAGGUUGAGGGCUGCUAUAAGGAUGCUCAAUGAGGCCAUAGAUUCGGGUCUUGAGCCUAAUGCUGUAACAUACACAACCUUAAUGAAAAGCUGCUUUAGAUCUAGGCAAUAUGAACAUGAAUUUGAGAUUUUUUCUAAGAUGACAAAGGAUAUGCUUUCGAUGGCUUUGCUUACUGCACAAUUAUUGGUGCUUUUCUUAAGUUAGGCAGGUUUGAAGAGGCAAAUUUUUAUAUGGAACAGAUGAUAAAGAAUGAUGUAGGAAUUGAUAUGACUUUUUAUAACACAUUUAUUAAUUUCUACUGUAAAGAAGGUAAGUUAGAGGCUGCAUAUAAGUUGCUUGAUGAGAUAGAGUCACGGGGACUAGAAUGCGACGACUGCACACAUUCUAUAAUAACUAAUGGGCUGUGCAGGGUUUGUAAUAUUGAAGGGGCCAUGCGACAUUUGAAUUGUGUGUAUACAACCGGUUUUGCGUCAAACGUAGCCUUAAAUUGUUUAAUUGACAGGUUGUGCAAGGCUGGACAGAUUAAUCGUGCAAUUAGAUUGUUUGAAUCGAUGGAAGCAAGGGAUUCUUUUACCUAAUACCUCCUUGGUGCACAAUCUUUGCAAGGCAAGGAGGUUCCGUCGUGCGUCAAAGUUAUUGAUUUCACGUUCAAGAGGUGGCAUAAAGAUUCUUAAGGCUACACAACGUGCAGUUAUUGACGAUCUUUGUUCUUCAGGAUUUACAAGUGAAGCCAGGAAGCUCAAAUGCAAAUUACGUUUGAUUCGACUCUUUCAUUGAUCAUCUAGGUUUGAAUAUUGCACCUGAUUAUAUAAUUACUUCAACUCCGAAAAUCAAUGUAUUCUCUUCGUAGGCAAUGCAAGCAUCAAGUACUAUAAGGAUGUUUGAGACAGGCAGCACUCAUCAUCUGAAAAAGUCUAGACUUGAAAACCAUGGGAGGACUAGCCAAUUGUUACGAAUGAUUGGCUACACAUGGAAGAUGAAAUGCUUGCAAAGUGAGGGUUGCAUCAGAGACUUUAGUCUCAACAUAGGCUGUCCUUGAUUAUUAUCAUGCCGUUUUCGGAUUGGUAAGUUUCAAAUUUGAUAUGGGUUUUUUUAGGUGUUGAAGUGUUGAAGUGUGAAGUAAAGGUUCUUCUGUCCUUGAUUGUUAUCAUCAGAGAGUUCAGCCUCACAUUCACUACAUGAAAAAGGUCUUUCUAUAGUCUUUGGAUAUAGCCUUUUCCAAAAUGGCCUAUGGAAUUGAAAAGAAAAACAUGCUAAUUUCUUUUAAAAAAAAGCACAUGGCAUAAAAAAGUGGGGGAAAGAGGGAUCUAAAAAGUGUAUCCCUUAUUUUUCAUCCAACUUUUGCUGUCUCACUUGCUCUUCAAUUUUUUGUUUCUCUUUCCCCCUCCCCUCCAUUUUUUUCUAUUUACCUAAAAAUUCUUGUUUUAGAGGACCUCUACAUGUGUGAAUUCCGCGCCUUCGCAUCAAAUUUGGGUACAAUGAGCUAUGAAGAUCCACGACGGUGGAUCUAAUACCAGUGGUGGAUGGAGGGUAGGGAACAAUGGCCAAUCUAAUCUGGUGGCGGCAGACUCUUAGCGAUAGGAGACAAAUGUAGAUUUAGUAGAGGCUUGAUGGGGAGCAACGAGAGGGCAAAGCAGAUUUAGGUUUCACAGAAAGAAAAAACUAUGUAGUGUUUUGGGUGGUGGAGGUUCCUUCAAGCAUCUUGGUUCUAAGCGGGGUUGGGAAAGGUCCUUCAAGUAGAGUGUUUCUGGGCAGCAAGUUCUUUGAUUUAAGUUUCACGGAAGGAAAAAACUAUUUAGUGUUGAGUUUCUUCUGAAUCAUUGUGUUGGUUUGGUCCUUGGAUUCGUAAUGAUUAAUCUCAGUUGAAUGAUAGAUUUGAUUUGAUAGUGUUGAGUUUACUGGAGCUUUUUAUAAGAAAGAUCCCCUGAAACUACAAACAAAUGAAGAUGGGAAAAUUAUGCCUCUGUUGUGCAAAAAAUUGAAGUGGUUUCAGAUCCUGGUAAAACGAUAACUUGUUUUGUUAACGAGCGGGGAUGAAUCUUAUUGGCUCACCGAUAGAUCUUUGACUCUACCUGAUUUUUCGAUCACAAAUUUCUAGAUCUGGGAGUCUGGAAAUGGAGACCGAGAGUGCAAAUAAGUUCGCAUUGUUGCUGGCUUCCACUCUCCUUCAGCUCGCCUCCACCCCUUAGCGGCCAUACGUGUUGAGACUCCUCUCUUUCAACCUCGAGCCUCUAAAAACAACAAUUUGUGAAUCUAUCUCACCUUGUGUGCUUUUGACUUGGAAAUGGAGUGGUGUAAUGCAUUCUAUUUUAGAGAUAACAAUAUUUUUUUACAUCUUUAAUUUUGUUUUGAUUAAUCAAUCAGUUUGAAGUUGAAAGGAAGUCCCUCAGUGUCUGCUCUGUAAUUAUUGACAUGUCUCGUUUUGUAUAGGUAACUGGAGCUUCUCAAUUGAUAAACAUCUUGGAUAUCUGUAAUUCCAAAUGCUCUUUCAUUCCCUUAAUUUGCUUGCUAUGUCCAUAGUUAAGAUCUUAAUACAAAGGAAAAGUGUACUUUGUGCUGAUAGAUAUCCAGAUGAUUAUUGCCACUUGCCUAUUGACUGUGGAAGUUUCCCAGUUUCGAAGGUUGGUUUCGUUCUCCCCGUUCACUGUUUCAAUUCGUCUUCAACUCCCCCGUAAGAUCUAAGUCCCUUUGCAUUUCGUUGAUGGUUGCGUUUCAAUGCGUUGCCUCCGAAAUGCUUCUCCGUCCACUUGUUGGUUUCGUUGACUGGCUUUGUUUCCAUACUUAAGACCUUCGAAACCCUUCUCCUUCCCUUCUCUGAUUCGUUCCAUGGCUGGGCUUUUAGUCUCACCGCUCGGACUUCCCUUUGCCGCUCAGCCUUCCCUUUUACUGAGAAUAGACAAAUGCUACAUCUGGAGUGGCAUUGGAGAAUUUCGAGCAAGGUAGGGAUGGAGGUUCUCGUUUUCACUCGUUUUUUCAAACACCGAUGAUAUGGUCCACCGAAAACUUUUUUCUAAUCGUUAUUUUUCAUGCUCAUGUCUACGUUCUGUCAAUUUGUUACAUUUGGAUUAUGGUUAUUUUUUUAAAAAUAUUUAUCAUAUUUUUUGUUCUGUUUUUGUGUUCAUCUUCUGUCAAUUUGUAAAAUUUGGAUGUCGGUUUGCUUUUACAUAUUUAUGAUAUUUGUUCUGUUUUUGUGUUCAUCUUUCUUCUGUUAACAUGUUGUAAUGAAUUCCUAAUUUUGUAAUUUCUAUGACCUUGCUCAUGGUUCUGUCUCUUCAUACCUGUGCAUACCCUUUGAAGUCCUAUUUUCGUAAUUUGUAUGCCUUUGUUCAUGCUUUUGUCUCUUCAUACCUGUGCAUACCCUUUAAAUCACUCUUUUCCUAUUUUCUAUCCCUUUGUUGGCUGCUGCUUCUGUCUCUUCAUACCUGUGCAUACCCAUUCUGUAUUAACUGUGGUUGGUCUCAUGGUUUAGGGUUUUGAUUAUUUUUUCUGCUUCUUAAAUGUGUCCUUUCCCCUUUGAUUUGUGUUGUCUAUUGUCAUUUCUAGGGAUUGUUCACAUUUUUUGGUUUAGGGGUCUUCAAUGCAUCAUUUAUUUAUCUCAUCCCCAUCUAUAUAUACAUGCUCAUACCUUCUGUCUGUUUGUGUGCAUAUUUCCUUGUUGCUUACCUAGAACUUCCUUUCCAUCUUCUUUGGUAUGUUUACGAAUGCAUCCUGCCAAGCUUUAUGUUUUCUUUUCCUUUGAUGUUCUGUUAUUAUGAAGUCAAGUUAAUGGAGUUGUGUGUGUAUGUGAAUGCAUCCAUUCCUGUGUCUAUGAAGAAGUAUGAAAAUUCAUCCCUUCUUUUCCAAAAUCUAUGUUCUUUCUUAUAGUUUGUCGUGUCAUUGUCAUUUGCUAUUGAAAUGCGGGUUUGGCAAUCAUCUAUUCUUCCUUUCCAUGACUAUAGUGUUGUUGAUUUUUUUGCAAUCCAUGUUUAAAGGUCAUUUUUUCCAUUAUUUGUUCUUCCUUUCUAUGUCUAUUAUGUCAUUCAUUUCUCUACAAUCUAUGUUUGAAGAACACUUUUUUCAUUAUUUGUUAUUCCUGUCCAUGUCUGUAAUGGAAAAAUGUCAUUGAAAUCCAUUCUUGAAGGUCAUUUUUUCCAUUACUUGUUCUUACAUUCCAUGCAUAUACUAUCACUCAUUUCUUAGCAUUGCAUAUUUGAGGACAUUUUUUCCAUUACACGAAAUUCAAGUUCAAAUUCUUGAACGAAUUUUCUUCUCUGAGGCACCAAAAUAUUUCCUUUUCUUUACUUGUUUUUUCUGGAUGACUGUUAACAGUUUUUUUAUUUUUUUCUAUCGUACGGGUAAUUAUUGAUAGGAAAUGGUAUGUACUCGAAACCUUUUUUUUCCUUCUUCCACUAAUAAUGUCUAUAACCAAUACUAUUCUUCAUUUUUUGUAGUAUGCUCGAGUUUGUAGUAAAUUUACGAGAUACUAGGGUUUCCUUGUUUUCAAGUAAUUUUAAUUCUUUUUUGUUCGUCUUUUUGGUUAGUACAUUGUAAUAUGUAGGAAAUGUUACCCACGAACAAUGGUCACGUAGACUUUGUAUGUGGACUGCCAUUUUUUUAAUCUAAUUUACUCCUUCCUUUUGCAUGUCUUUUAGGCCAGUUCCAUUCUUAUGUCUACUUUUGUAGUACGUGGGCAAACUACUUAACCUUUAGCUUUGGAAGAUCACAUGCAUUAGACACUUGGUUAGAAUAAAAAAGGUACUAAUGAAUGACCACAAGAGGCUAGCGCAAACACCUUACGACACUAGGCAUAAAAUUAUGUAGCUAGUUUGUCGUCAAAGUACUAGAAUGGACAAAAGGUGUUUUGCCAUUCUAUACCACCUACUUAGGACUACCACUGGAUUAGCGUCGACAUAAAUCGUUGAUGUCGAGAAGAUGGUUGCAAUGUUCCUGCACAUACUAGUGCAUGACGUGAAGAAUUGUGUUAUCCAAAGGGAGUUCAUGCGAUCCGAUGAGACAAUUUCCCGACAUUUCAACCUAGUCUUGUUGGCUGUGCCACGACUACAUGACGAGUUAUUGAAAACCAUAACCAGUAACAAACCAUGCACAGAUCCCCAAUGAAGGUGGUUUGAGAUGACACAUACAUAAAGGUGAACAUGAUGGCAAUUGGUCGAUCGAGAUAUAGAAUGCAAAAAGUCGAAGUUGUCACAAAUGUUCUGGGAGUAUGUGUUACAAAAAGGCGAUUUUGUGUUCGUCUUAGCCGACUGAGAAGGAUCCACAGUCGACUCGUGCAUCUUUCGAGAUGCUAUUUCAAGAUCGAACGACUUGAAUGUUUCAGAGGAAUAUUACAUGUGCUGAGGGUUUUCUAGCUAUGUACAAAGGACAAAGAUACCACUUGCAGGAGAGGUGUGGAGCAAAAAAUGAACCAACAACAGCGAAAGAGUUCUUCAACAUGAAACAUUCUUUUGCACGAAAUAUUGUUGAAAGAGCUUUCGAUCUAUUGAAGGGUUGAUGGGCAAUCCUUCGAGGAAAGUCCUACUACUCGAUCCAAGUCAAAUGUCACAUGAUCUGGCAUAUUAUCUAUUGCACAACCUGAUCAACAGAGAGAUGACGUCGAUAUAAUAAAUGAUAUCGAUGAGGGUGACUUGACCUUUGCAACAACUGCAGACGACGACAUUCACUACAUUGAGACAUCGAAUGAAUGGAGUUAGUGGAGGGAUGAUCUAGCGAAAGAAAUGUUUAGUGAAUGGGAGUUGCAUAAUCAAUAGUACCCUUAUUGUAGUAGUAGUACCGUAUUACGUUGAUUUGUUAAAUAUAACCAGUUUACUUUGUUUUUUUUUGUAUGUUGUAAAUUUUUUUCUCAAUGUAUCUAUGUACGUACACGAUAAAUGAAGCACUGAUAGAUCACUUCAAGCACAAUGAUCAUUGGAUGUGCUUAUGGUUUUUGUAACACAUUUGAUUGACAUGUUUACGUUUAUUUUACAGUACAACAAGUUCGUCACGAGCUCUUAAACAUUUGUGGAUGAAAGAGGAGUUUACCCUUGUUAAGUGUUUGGUGGAGUUGGUUUCCACUGGUGGCUGGAAAUCGGACAACGGGACCUUCAGAUUCGGGUACCUAGCAUAGUUAUAGAGAAUAAUGGCAGAGAAGUUGCUAGGCUGUAACAUUUAGGGGACCUCGACAAUUAAUUAUCGGAUAAAGAGCUUGAAGAGAACAUUUCAGGCCAUAUCAUAAAUGCGGGGCCUAACAUGCAGUGGGUUUGGUUGGAACAAUGAAGUCAAGUGCAUCAUUGCUGAGAAGGAAUUGUUGGACACUUGGGUGAAGAGCCAUCCUGUUGCCAAGGGCCUCCUACACAAACCGUUUCCCUAUUACGUCGACCUAUGUUACGUAUUCGGGAAAGGUCGUGCUACGGGAGCACGCACAGACUAUGAGGGAUUUUCCAUUGAUGAUGAAAAACGAUAUGGAGAUCACUAUGAUGUAUAGUUAGGGACUAGACAUGUCACCUGACGACAUCACUGGCACACGACCUGGUCAUUCAAGUAAGGGCAGACUUAGUUCACGCGGCUCCAAAAGGAAGCGAGAAGGCCAUACGACUGAGACUGUGGAAAUCAUUCGCACUACAAUGGAAUAUGCAAAUGACCAGUUAAAGGUCAUUGAAGAAUGGCCAAAUUUAUAACGCUAGGAUGCACGCACCUCUCGUACAGGAGUCGUGAAAUAGUUGUAGGGAAUCCUUGAGCUGAGUACUCGUGAUAGGGUGCACCUUAUGUGGAUAAUAAUACACAUAUCGACAACAUGAAAUCAUUCUUGGAGGUACCCAACAAGCUUAAAUUGGACUACUACACGGUCAUUCUCGAAGAUAACGCUUGAGUGGUUGUCCAUUUCCUUCAUUUGUCUCAUUUGUCUGUUAGUACUACACUGACAGAUCAUUUGUCUCAACAUGUACUGUAAAAAACUAUUUAAUGAACGAUUUCCUAUAGUAAUGAAAUUGUGUU
Molecule: long non-coding RNA, 7942 nt
Organism: Cucumis melo (muskmelon)
Lineage: Eukaryota; Viridiplantae; Streptophyta; Magnoliopsida; Cucurbitales; Cucurbitaceae
Exons: 8
Source: RefSeq, a predicted model, not a curated record